Molecule: RNA transcript, 3344 nt
Organism: Gossypium raimondii (Peruvian cotton)
Lineage: Eukaryota; Viridiplantae; Streptophyta; Magnoliopsida; Malvales; Malvaceae
Gene name: NADH dehydrogenase [ubiquinone] 1 alpha subcomplex subunit 6
Exons: 3
Source: RefSeq, a predicted model, not a curated record
CUGAAAUCCCUAAUCUUCCCAUGGCGGACAAUAUUUUCUCGUAGAAAAUAUUUGAUUCUCCCUCCAUCUUCCAAUCUUUUUAGUUCCCUUCCCAGUACAAAUCAGUUUUCCAUUCCAAACCCUAACAAACGUUUAACAAAAAAACACCCCUUCUUCAUCGUUUUGAACUCCUCCAUUUUCUCUACUUCCCCUUCUUCUUCUCCUCUCCAAUCAGUUAUCCGCCGUUUCAAGUGAAUACUUUUCAUUUUUCCUUUAAUUUUUGCCUAACAAUAAGCUCAUCACUCCCUCAAUCUUGUUUGUCGUUUUGAAAUAGACCCCUUUCUCUUCUAAUGUUUCUGCCGGUUAUUUUUGUUAGAGAUGUUGGGGCUGCUGUAGGGAUAAGACGAGGUCAUCGAGGAAUAAUCAAGCGUCGUCAAGCAGUAUAUUGAGAAACAUUACAAAGAGCAGAUGAAGAAUCUUUAAGACAGAAAAGAGAGCAUUUGGGCUUCUGGAGUCUUCACAUUGUUAAUAGGUGUACUAAGUUCAUUUCCUCCCACAUUAUCCCUCUCACCUCCUGACUCAAGAGUCACUGAACGAGUCGAGUUCGAACUCAGAUUACCCAAAAUGGCAUUCACAUUGAGGAGUGUGAAAGUACCGCCUAACUCAGCGAGUUUGGAAGAAGCAAGGAGCCGGGUCUUCGAUUUCUUCAGACAAGCUUGUCGAUCAAUCCCCACUAUUAUGGAUAUCUAUAACCUAGACGACGUCGUCACCAAAUCUGAGCUCCGUUCUUCCAUCUCCUCCGAGAUCCGUAAGAACUCUCAUGUUACUAACCCUAAGGUCCGUUCCCCAAUCUCUCCGUUUUAGAUCCUUUUUAUUUAAUUUAAUUUUUAAUUUGUUAAACUUUUGGGAAAUUGUAUCUUUCCUAGGGUUAGGAAAAUAUUGUAUUGCUUGCACUUAAUUUCUGGAAAUAAAUAAAAUUUAUAGCUAAUUUGAAUUAAGAGAAAAUAAAAUAAUGAAAAAUAAGAUUAUUCAAGGAAUGGUCAUUAUCCUAUUGAAAUCUGAGUUUAAUCUAAGCUUUAGUUGAUGUAGGAUUGUGAUGGAAAAGGUUGGAUAUUUUUAUUUUUUUAUUGUUUUGGGAAAGUAGUUUCGAUUUCGAUGUCUUUAUAUUUAACGGGAAUGCUAAAUUAUGCUGUUGAAUCAGAUUUAUUUCAUGAGUUGCCUUCAUUGUGCUCUAUCCUCUGAUCAAGAGGGGGACUGGAAAUGAGAUUUAAGAAGAGCUUUAUUGAUGGUAUAUUUUCGAAGAUUAAUUUGGAGAAUACUGAUGAGUUUUUCUGAAAUGAAAUGUUUGCAUUAAACUGGGAUUUCAAUAGCUUCGUGAACAAUUGUUCUAGUAUUGUCUUUUUUACUUUCUAGUGCUUUGUGUACAAAUUACUCUGGCUUGAUCCGUAUGUUGCUAAGAAAUCGUAAAUGGAACAGUUUAAACUUGUUUUGAAUGUCCAUUGAUGUAAUCUUUCGAUAAGCUGUUUUGAGUUUGAAGUCCUUUGAAUGGCAUGGAGAAAGCUAAGGUUUAACCCUCUUGUUUUUUCAUCUUGAAUAAUUCUUGUACUCUAGCCAGAUGAUACAGUGGCUGUUGAUGGUGAAUGAGGAUUAUUUUGCAUAUCAAAAUGAACCAUUUGUAUUAAUCAUAUAUAAUUUGUGCUGCAAAUAAAAAUGAUUUUUUUUCACAUUGAGAAUGAGGUUUAAAGCUUAUUUUGGGGUGGUUUCUAUGGAAAUUGAUCAAUCAAACCUGCUUCUAGUGUAUAAAUGGUAUUGCAGGUUUUCUCUAGAGAAACUGAUGACAUUUAUUAUGUUUGUUUUUUUCUCCAUAUAUUUUAAGGACCCUUGGAAGGUCAUAUCGUAUACCCUUAUUUGGGUAUGUGUUAGAACAUGGUAUCGGUGGAUGCAAGUAAGCUCAUUACUUCUUUAAUGAUGCAUUUUUUCCAUUAUUUGUUAUAUUAUUUUAUUUUCUUGUAUCACGUGAUUUACUGUGUAUGAAAAAUUGGUCUGCAAAUUAUUAGUUUUGAUAUACUGGUGUAAAUGUUCAAUUAUUAGUUUUGGCAUUGACUGCAGCAAGUGUGACUCAAUUGAUCUGUUAAUAUGCUUUUGUUCUUUUUAAUUCUUAGACAUCAUAUUUGUGCAUAUAAAAUCAUCUAUGAGAAUCUUCCUGCUUUACCAUUCACAUAUCGAUGCUUCUGUCAUUUUUGGUGAAGCUUUAUAUAUACUUUCUAUCCAUUUGGAUGGUGAAAUUUACAUUCUUUGGUGCUGAUGCAGGCCCAUGCAUGAAGUUACAUUUUCAACAGAAGACAAACCAAAACUUCUUAGUUAGGUGUAUGAUAGGUUUGUUUGACAAAUAGAAGUGUAUUUUCUAUCUUGAAAAUUUUGCUUUAAGAAGUGUAUUGUCUUGAAUAUAUCCAGAGAUUGCAUGGUUAGGGUUUAAAUAGUAAGAAAAAAGGAAGGGAAAAUGUGUUUGGAAAUCAUAAAAGUUAAACUGCUAACUGUGUUGACUAUGCACAUUAUACCAAAUAGAACAUUUUACAAUCCGUUAGCUUCAUAACUUCAUUCAUACUUUUAGCCCCAUUUAUUUAUUUAUUAAUUGAAAAUAAUGCACAUUAUACCAGGCAAGCAAAUGUACAUUUUUUUUGAAAUCUGUCAUGUUUAGAUAAUGUUCUUAUGCCAUUUCUUCAGUACCUCCUUCUAUAAAAAGGUAGUUGCUUGCUUCUACCUUCAAUUUUCCCAUACUUUACUUUGCUUGUUCAUGUAAGUCUUUGUAAUUAUCAUUUUCUAAACUACUUUUUCGUUUCUAAAUUAUGAUGCUCAGUUAGUGAAUCCGGAGAGUGGCUAUAAUUAUAGAGCUGUCAAAAGAUGGACUUCACAAAGGAAGCUGGGUUAUUGCCAAUUGGAUUGUGAUAAAGUAACUAUUUAUCUUAACACUUUGAAUCAAUCAUUUGUUUUGCAUGAUAUAUUUAUUGCAGGAACAUAUGCCCUAUGCCCUAUUUUCACUUAAGGACCGCCAAGGAAAUUCUGAAACUGAAAGCUGAUUGAUCGGAUGUGUAUGCCGGCUUUCAUCAACUACUUUCGAAGGUCUUACUAGGAAUUGAAAUGCUGUGCAAAGAGAUUGCUUCUUCUGAUCUAAUUUUUCGAUAUAAAUACUGGACAAAGUAUGGAUAUUUUUUAUCAGUUGCAUUUACUGCUGUUAGUAAAAUAGUAUUCUCUUCUUAGGAUCUUAGUUUCUUCACUUGUAUUAGACUCAACAAUGGCUUGCAUUCCAUUGGUGUUGAUUUUACAAUUUUUAAUUUUUAUUAAUUAUUUACGUUUUCUCACUUUUA